Molecule: long non-coding RNA, 492 nt
Organism: Diceros bicornis minor
Lineage: Eukaryota; Metazoa; Chordata; Mammalia; Perissodactyla; Rhinocerotidae
Exons: 2
Source: RefSeq, a predicted model, not a curated record
CAGCCACAGAACUCGUAGCGUGGUGACCCAUGGGGCACCAGGACUCAGCUGCUGGCAGGCUCUGGGAGGGGCACCUGAGGUGUGGCUCCUGGUAGCUCACAGGUCCACUCUGUCCUGUAGCUACUGGGUCUCCUGCCAGCUGGAGCCCGCACACCAGAAGGCGAGCAAAAUGCGGCUCUUCAGGAGAACGAGGAACCGGACAUCCUCCAGUUCAGGGCCAACCACCAUGCCCUUGGCGAUGAGCCGUCACACUCUGGAGACCACAAGUGCAGCUCCUCCUGACCAGCAGGGACACUGGCGCCCUCGGGGUGCACCGGGCCAGCUCUUCCCACCCUGAGUGAAUGAGGACAUCCUAAGACUUUCCCUGGUUUCCCCUAAAUCCCCAGAGGGAGGGCACCACCCCCUCCCUCUCCCUGACAUCACCACGCCAGCCACUGUUAACCCAUUGGGGAGGAGUGAUAUUAUUUCUUUAAUAGUAAAUGGUAGAUUUGA